GAUGAACGCUGGCGGCGUGCCUAAUACAUGCAAGUCGAGCGAACGGACGAGAAGCUUGCUUCUCUGAUGUUAGCGGCGGACGGGUGAGUAACACGUGGAUAACCUACCUAUAAGACUGGGAUAACUUCGGGAAAACGGAGCUAAUACCGGAUAAUAUUUUGAACCGCAUGGUUCAAAAGUGAAAGACGGUCUUGCUGUCACUUAUAGAUGGAUCCGCGCUGCAUUAGCUAGUUGGUAAGGUAACGGCUUACCAAGGCAACGAUGCAUAGCCGACCUGAGAGGGUGAUCGGCCACACUGGAACUGAGACACGGUCCAGACUCCUACGGGAGGCAGCAGUAGGGAAUCUUGCGCAAUGGGCGAAAGCCUGACGGAGCAACGCCGCGUGAGUGAUGAAGGUCUUCGGAUCGUAAAACUCUGUUAUUAGGGAAGAACAUAUGUGUAAGUAUCUGUGCACAUCUUGACGGUACCUAAUCAGAAAGCCGCGGCUAACUACGUG
RNAcentral lists this ribosomal RNA (497 nucleotides) under uncultured bacterium. RNAcentral's name for it is "partial 16S ribosomal RNA". It matches the Rfam family "Bacterial small subunit ribosomal RNA", at positions 28 to 507 of the family's 1533-position model. The record is from RNAcentral.